AUGAACGCUGGCGGCGUGCCUAAUACAUGCAAGUCGCGCGAACAGACGAGGAGCUUGCUCCUCUGACGUUAGCGGCGGACGGGUGAGUAACACGUGGAUAACCUACCUAUAAGACUGGGAUAACUUCGGGAAACCGGAGCUAAUACCGGAUAAUAUAUUGAACCGCAUGGUUCAAUAGUGAAAGACGGUUUUGCUGUCACUUAUAGAUGGAUCCGCGCCGCAUAGCUAGUUGGUAAGGUAACGGCUUACCAAGGCAACGAUGCGUAGCCGACCUGAGAGGGUGAUCGGCCACACUGGAACUGAGACACGGUCCAGACUCCUACGGGAGGCAGCAGUAGGGAAUCUUCCGCAAAGGGCGAAAGCUUGACGGAGCAACGCCGCGUGAGUGAUGAAGGUCUUCGGAUCGUAAAACUCUGUUAUUAGGGAAGAACAAAUGUGUAAGUAACUAUGCACGUCUUGACGGUACCUAAUCAGAAAGCCACGGCUAACUACGUG
Molecule: ribosomal RNA, 495 nt
Filed under: uncultured bacterium
Lineage: Bacteria
Description: partial 16S ribosomal RNA
Rfam family: Bacterial small subunit ribosomal RNA
Source: RNAcentral